Molecule: long non-coding RNA, 4093 nt
Organism: Leopardus geoffroyi (Geoffroy's cat)
Lineage: Eukaryota; Metazoa; Chordata; Mammalia; Carnivora; Felidae
Exons: 5
Source: RefSeq, a predicted model, not a curated record
GGACGAGCUGUGUCCCCUCUUUGGGACUCAGUUUCCUCUCCGGGAAAAGGUGAGGAGGCUCUCUGAUAGCGCUCUUCAGGGAUUCAACGGCGAGAUGUGUAGAAAGCCCGCAACUGCUGCCGCUGCUGCUGUUGUCACUGCUAUUAAUUAGUGAGAAACAGAGCAGGAUCCCAAGAGGCGGAGGGCGGGACAGGCCUCCCGGCCGGAAGGAACGGCGUGCGAUUCAGGACACGCGCAUGCGCGCUGAACAAGGAACCUGGGGCGCGGCAGCCUCCGCGGACGCUCCCCUGCCCGGGAGCUGCUCAGCAAGGGCCACAGCACAGGUGCUGCCAGUGUUGCUGGUCCAAGGACCACGCUUUGAAGACCACCGUCUUAGGGGAUUCACUCGGGGGACAUCUUCCUGCUGGAAACCCAGGUUGGAAAAACGCCACCGUAUCCCUCGGGAGUAUCUCCAGUGCCUUCCAGCACCGACAGUCGAAGGUUCUUCUGCAUAUCUGACCUGAAUCUCUGCUGCUGCGUUGCUCCUCGCCCAGGGUGGAGACAGUCCAAGGAUUCCAGGGACCCCACUGCCGAAGUCAAGCCUCUAAAAAAGCUCCACCGCACCACCUCCCUCGUAUCGCUGCUUGAUAAAGAAACUGAGGCUAGAGAGCAGAGGAAACAACUCAUCCAAGGUCACACAGACAAGACCCAGACAUUUGAUGGUCCCUGAGAGGGAAAAUCCCACAGCCAAGCCACAGAGGACAGAAGCCACGUUAGCUCUGGCACCCGCCAGCUCGGGCUCCCCUUCUCUCUGCGGAGCCCCUGGGGCCCCGCCCCUACCAGAUGCUUUCAGAUGCUUCUCUGCCCGCUGCAAGGAAUCUGCUCACCUCUCCUGAGCCAGGGAAGUGUGCCCAGGGGAUCUCUGCAUAUGAUCUGGAACAAGUUCCCUCCUCCCUGAGCCUCUGUCUCCCUGUCUGUAAAGUGGGAGGGCUGGGCUAGAAUUCGGGGUCCCCCAAGCGCAGGCCCAUCUGAGCCAGGUGAGGAAUGCAUAGCAGACACCGUGAUUCACCUGGCAGGAGAGUCAUUCUUGCCUUAGCCCCCUUUCUCUCCUGGCUCCCCAGCCGUCUGACACUUGUCCCCCCCCGUUCAGCCGAGUUCAGAGCUGGCGCCAGGCACACGCUCCGAUCACAUCAGGUGUUUUGUUGCCUUUCUUUUAAGGUAAACUUCCGUUUAGAGCAAACCGUCUUGUGUACGAUAUAGAGUGGUUUUCUUUAAGUGAAAGAGUGAUGGAUUUGAAGAACGCUUGGUUUAAGUAGGGCAGGUAGGAACCCAGCUUCUUGGAAGCCCACGUUUCUGGGUCCCGCCGUGGAAGUGAGACCAGGAGGGCGGGGUGCAGAUGGCCUGACGGAGUCAGAUGAGCAGACAGCACCGGUUUCUGGUGGAAAAGAAGAGGAAGCAGCAUCUUGGGGAGCCCUACCUGUCCCCCCAGAAUUCAUGGUCCCAGGGCUGCAGGGCAAGUGGAAAGACGAGGCAUGGGGGUCGGGCCCCAGGAUCCAAGAGGGCCCCUUGCCUCAGUUUAUCACACAGUCUACAGUCCCCUGUGACCUUCCUGCCCAGGGCAGCCCUGGGAGGUGUCCACGACCCGCCCCAGCUCAGGCCGGGAGGCACAAAAGGACCAGUCGCGUGAGUGGACAGAUCGGCUAUCUCAUCAGGCUUCACGGCGCACCUGUGACCAUCUCACAGCUGAAAACCCUGCGCGAGGCCACAAACGGCCAAACGGCCAAGUGCGAGGGAGCCCAAAGGGCUCAGCCACACGGAGGAAAUUUCCAUGGCAGGAAUUAGGAAUGUGGUUUUGAGGAAUAAUGACACGGGAAGAUAGAAGAUGUUGAAAGUAAGAUGUUGAGGACAAAAGACCAAGAUGUAAACUCUACACGACACGCUCUCCGUUUUAUUUCUCCAUCAACGCCUUACCAGUGUUCUACCGUGGGCACGCAUUCCCUCACAAUCAGAAAAAAAGAAAAAAGUUGAUCUGAAGAAAACAGAAAGAUUGGUCACGUGUCCCUGGUUGCAUAGUAAUCAAGCUGCCAAGCGGGCUCUGUGUGUCCUCCGACCUAGAGAACGAUGCUUUUCAGGAUGAAGCUGGGGUCACAAGAGAUACUUUUCUCUUAAAAAAGAAAGAAAGAAGGAAAAACAAACUUUUAAAGGUCCACGAAUAUCGUCUACACUCCCAGCUAACGCCAGGGGGCUUUUCCGAGGUAGAGAUGACUCAUGAAUCUCUGUGAAAUAUCCAGAGGGUGUUUUGAUUUAAAUGCCCCCCCUCAGCGCUCUGAGCUCGAGGACGUCACCGCGGGGGGUGGAGGGGGUCACCUGGAAGAGACAGCACCCCUUUGCGGACAGGGCCUCCUGGGGCCGCCGUGGGGGUGGGGGAGCGUGGAGCCUGUGGAGCCGGGGGCUCGUGUCUGGAAAGACGGAGCCCCGAUGCGGGAUAACAGAGAUCGGGGGGCAGCCAGACCCCUUCUCAAACAGGUGGGGCCGGAGGGACUGAGCCAGAGGCACCACGGUGCAGAGGGACCCCUCCCGGCAGGUCGGGGUGAGGCCACACCGUGGUCACGGUGCUUGGCCAGGUGCCUCUGUUUGACGCUAAAGAGGGAACCCGGCAAUAUUGCUAAUGAGAACCGGCACUUCGAGAGCACCGGCUUCUGCCACGUUCUGUGCUGAGAACCAGCUCCUUUCAUUCCUGGUCCCCGGCAGGUCUGGCCUCGGCUUCGCUCUGAGCGGCACCCCCUUAUCGCGUGCCGGACGCCAGGCCGAGAGCUGGACACGGCACGUCUCCCCCACAGCAUGCCUCUGAGGUGGGCGCUCUUACCACCCCCGUUUUACAGACGGAGAAACUGAGGCUCGUAGAGCUGAGGUGGCCAGAACUAGCAAGUGGCAGCGUCCCAUCUUCGACGUCUCGCCUUAAAACACUUGCGUGUGGGCAGUGUGACACAGGUGUGCGUACCCCUCAUCCACGUCCUAGGGGUGACCGAGCAACACGUGUGGGACCCCCGUCAGAAGCCCUCACUCCAGAGUGGUUACGGGAGGGUCUCAGGCAGAGCUCCACCGACACUUUGGGCCAGAGCAUUCUUGGCCGGGGCGGGGGGGGGGGGGGGGGGCUAUGUAUUUAACCCCUGGACACCAGGAGCACCACGCCCUCCAAUGGUGACAACCAAGAGCGCCCACAGACACUGCCACGUGUCCCCUGGGUGGCAGAACCACCUCCAGUGGGAGCCACUGGGUUAAAGCAGCUCUUCAACUCUUGAGGGUUCGUGAAUUAGCGUCGCGGGCAUUCGGGGUAAUUUUCACGUGUGAGAGUAGAGGCGUUGAAGGUGCGAUCUUCCGUGGGUGGCAAAUACUUCCCCCCUCGCAUGAAUGGGGGGUAGGAAUCUGGGGGGCCCAGCAGCCCAGCAUCUUCAGAAGGGGCCCCGGGGCUGCAGCUCCCAAUGGGCCUGUGCCACCCCAGCCCCCGCACGCACACACCUGCACACUCACGCCAGGAUGCGGACAAGGGCCUGGAGCCUCAGAGCGGGGGCUGGAGCUCGGAGAAGAGGUUGGUGGCCCCCUCGGGGUGUUCGCUGUUCACAUCAGAGUUCUGAAUGACACCUGCCUGCCUCGCAACCCCCGCCCGGCGGCAAACAGAGACCCUAAGGCAACCUACUCAUUUUGUCCCAAAGCACCCGACCAUUGAUGAACACUCACUGGUUUGGGUCCACUUAGCACAGGCAGGACUGGGAUUCAAACCCAAGGGCCACCUCGGUCACCCGCUCCGCACUGGAUGAUCUGCCCGAAUUCUCCAUGGUCGGGGACACAGACGCUCCCUGCUACUCACCCGCACAGCUGGACAUCAGAGCCACCUCCCCUAAACCAUCAGGACAGAGAAAGAAUGCCGUUCCCGACUGCUGUCUCUGCUCACCUCUGCAGUUAGGUUCCCUUCCCAGAGCGCCGGGGACUCGUGCACGGGGCCCACGAAAAUGGGUGGAUUACUUUUAAAAUCAGAAGAUAAGAAAUGAACUUUCAGGGGCGCCUGGGUGGCUCAGUCGGUUAAGUGUCCAACUUUUUGUUUGUUUGUUUGUUU